Aethalodelphis obliquidens (Pacific white-sided dolphin) is the source of this 654-nucleotide long non-coding RNA. RefSeq lists it as uncharacterized. The transcript has 3 exons. The record is from RefSeq and is a predicted model, not a curated record. Lineage: Eukaryota; Metazoa; Chordata; Mammalia; Artiodactyla; Delphinidae.
CUGAAAAUCCUAAGUCCUGGGAACCUUCACUUAUGGGCAAACCAGGACAGUUUGUUACCCUACUUUUAGUUAAUAUCAGGGCAACUGGUUUAAGGUAGUAUAAGAGAAAUGAUUAAAUUUUUCCAGACUUGGAUAACAGAAACCUAACAGAUGAUUCACUGUUAGGAAACACUGAUUCCCAGAGCCAGAGGUGAAGGAGGGUGCUUCUGGAAAUGGGACAGGAGCAGGUAGGAAAGAAACAGCUCAGCAGUCACAUGCUUAUCAGUCUUGCUUGUAGUUGUUGCCAUGUUAUAAGCAUGUGUUUGUGGCCCUGUCUGCUGCUGACAAUGUGUCAUGCUUACAAACAAAAUAAGUAUUAAUAAAUGAAGAGGACUUUCAUAGUAAACUUCAACCUUAACUUUAAGUAUUAGGUCAUAAGCCUCACGGCCGAUUUUUCAAGUUCUAGUAUAGGGUUGCCAGGUAAUACACAGAAUGCUCAGUUAAAUUUGAAUUUUAUAAAACUAAUGAAUAAUUUUUAAAAGUAUGUAUAAGCUUAGUAUUGAGAAUAAACUUUAAAAAGUUUAAGUGUGUCACAAAUACUGCAUGAGACAUACUAAAAAGUUAUCCAUCGUUUGUCUGAAAUUCAAAUUUAGCUGGGUAUCCUGAACAGAUGAC